UCGGUCUGGCGGCGAGUGGCGGACGGGUGAGUAAUGUAUCGGAACGUACCCAGUAGCGGGGGAUAACUACUCGAAAGAGUAGCUAAUACCGCAUACGCCCUACGGGGGAAAGGGGGGGAUCUUAUGACCUCUCACUAUUGGAGCGGCCGAUAUCGGAUUAGCUAGUUGGUGGGGUAAAGGCCUACCAAGGCGUCGAUCCGUAGCUGGUUUGAGAGGACGACCAGCCACACUGGGACUGAGACACGGCCCAGACUCCUACGGGAGGCAGCAGUGGGGAAUUUUGGACAAUGGGGGCAACCCUGAUCCAGCCAUCCCGCGUGUGCGAUGAAGGCCUUCGGGUUGUAAAGCACUUUUGGCAGGAAAGAAAUUGCAUGGGUUAAUACCCUGUGUAGAUGACGGUACCUGCAGAAUAAGCACCGGCUAACUACGUGCCAGCAGCCGCGGUAAUACGUAGGGUGCAAGCGUUAAUCGGAAUUACUGGGCGUAAAGCGUGCGCAGGCGGUUCGGAAAGAAAGAUGUGAAAUCCCAGGGCUUAACCUUGGAACUGCAUUUUUAACUGUCGAACUAGAGUGCGUCAGAGGGGGGUGGAAUUCCGCGUGUAGCAGUGAAAUGCGUAGAUAUGCGGAGGAACACCGAUGGCGAAGGCAGCCCCCUGGGAUGACACUGACGCUCAUGCACGAAAGCGUGGGGAGCAAACAGG
RNAcentral lists this ribosomal RNA (700 nucleotides) under uncultured beta proteobacterium. RNAcentral's name for it is "bacterial SSU rRNA". It matches the Rfam family "Bacterial small subunit ribosomal RNA", at positions 80 to 776 of the family's 1533-position model. Lineage: Bacteria; Pseudomonadati; Pseudomonadota; Betaproteobacteria. The record is from RNAcentral.